Molecule: small RNA, 76 nt
Filed under: Xanthomonas hortorum
Lineage: Bacteria; Pseudomonadati; Pseudomonadota; Gammaproteobacteria; Lysobacterales; Lysobacteraceae
Description: sX9 sRNA
Rfam family: Xanthomonas sRNA sX9
Source: RNAcentral
AUGUACAACUCGUACAUGCCAGCUCCUUCGCCCCGUCCGCACCCACCUGACGACUAAUCGCUACGUUUUGUCAGCC